This 80-nucleotide transfer RNA is filed under the name Talaromyces pinophilus. RNAcentral describes it as "tRNA-Leu (TAG) (tRNA-Leu-TAG-1-1)". It matches the Rfam family "tRNA". From Rfam's summary of the family: Transfer RNA (tRNA) molecules are approximately 80 nucleotides in length. The record is from RNAcentral. Lineage: Eukaryota; Fungi; Ascomycota; Eurotiomycetes; Eurotiales; Trichocomaceae.
GGCAAGAUGGCCGAGCGGUCUAAGGCGCUAGUUUUAGGCACUAGUUCGAAAGAGCGUGGGUUCGAAUCCCACUCUUGUCA